Molecule: ribosomal RNA, 254 nt
Filed under: uncultured bacterium
Lineage: Bacteria
Description: partial 16S ribosomal RNA
Rfam family: Bacterial small subunit ribosomal RNA
Source: RNAcentral
UACGUAGGAGACGAGCGUUGUCCGGAAUUACUGGGCGUAAAGCGCGUGUAGGCGGACAGGCAAGUCUGCUGUGAAAGCUCCUGGCUUAACCGGGAGUGGUCGGUGGAAACUGCUCGUCUGGAGGACGGUAGAGGUAGGUAGAAUUCCCGGUGUAGUGGUGAAAUGCGUAGAGAUCGGGAGGAAUACCUGUGGCGAAGGCGGCCUACUGGCCGGACCUGACGCUGAGAACGCGGAAGGCGUGGGGAGCGAACGGG